UUUUUGGAAAUGUCAGAAACCCAAAUAUCCCUGCCAAAACUGUGCCUGAUAAGCCCAAGAAGCCAUCAAUUUUAGAUAAGAAAACAGAACCCAAAUCAUCAAAAUCAAUAAAUAUAGCCUCCAAUUCCCCAGAAAAGUCAAAGGUAAAAUCAAAGAAGGAAAGCACUUGCGUCCAGAAAGUGACAGUAUAUAAUCCUACUAUUUAAC
Molecule: long non-coding RNA, 207 nt
Filed under: Theobroma cacao (cacao)
Lineage: Eukaryota; Viridiplantae; Streptophyta; Magnoliopsida; Malvales; Malvaceae
Description: long non-coding RNA (TCAC_LNC005634)
Source: RNAcentral